Molecule: long non-coding RNA, 1107 nt
Organism: Onychostruthus taczanowskii (white-rumped snowfinch)
Lineage: Eukaryota; Metazoa; Chordata; Aves; Passeriformes; Passeridae
Exons: 6
Source: RefSeq, a predicted model, not a curated record
UGCUCUCCGUGGGACAGGGACGGGACAGCGAGGGGUGGCAUGAGCUGGGCGGCACCUUAGCGGGGACAGUCCGCGGGGCCGAGCGCCGGGGUUCCCGGGCUGCCCCCGCCACCGCCCUCCCCACCGGCUGACAUUUGCCAUGCGCAGACAACACGCACUUCACCAAACAAUUCAGCCCGAGCCUCGCUGCAAACUCGCUGGGUUAUUUUUCUCCUCGUUCUCCGCUUGUUUAUGGCUGACGCUAUCUCGCCUGCCCCGCUCCCUCGGUUUCAUUAUCUCUCCUCGCAGAUGGCCCGUGGCUUUCCUUCUUCACAGGGCUUCUCUCUGCUGGUGCUAUAGCUCCCUCUUCUCUCCCCAGCUCUGCAUCCCUCACAGAGGGAUGGGCCCUUGCUCACAGGUGAGCCUUCCCCAGCAAAGCACUUCACUGCAGCUGUCCUUCCUCCUGCAGUCCCUUCUCCUCUGAAGGCCCCAGCAUCCCGUAAAAUAAAACCAAUGUGAUAGUAGUGGCAUUGUGGCCAGCGGGACCAGGGCAGUGACCAUUCCCAGUUCUGGGGAACCUCCAAUCCCAGGGAUGAUGAAUUUUUUAAUCGGCAGGAUUAAAGAAGUGCAACAGUUUCCAAGGAUUCAAAGGCAUGGUGGGAAAAGAAGAAAAAUUUUUUACCUCAUUGGCAGAGAAUUUAAGAGCAAUCAUUGUAAGUUUUGAAUCCUGGAAGCCUCCAGGUUAAAGAACUCAUUUAAGAAAACCAAAACUCAACAAAUCUUCUGGCUUCUUUUCACAGACUAACAGCAGAAGAUCACAAGGGUUACCUUUGACAUCUGUUCCAUGUGAACCCACAGAAGAUUUCUAGGAAGAAGAGAAUUGCUGGGGCAUUUCUGUGACCUGAUCCCUCGUCUUGGUUGAUCCGCGAUGGAAAGGUGACCCCAGGAACGGCUGGGAAUGGAUCUGGUGAGAGCCAUUGCUGUCUGAGCCAAGCAGAGUGUUCCCAACUGCAUCCCUGAAUAGAUUCAUUUGCUCUUUCCCUGGCUCUAUUUUAGCUACAAAUCUGUUAUUCUGCCCUGUGGGUGCCAACAUUUUGUUAAAAAAUAACCAAACUCAGUAAUAUUGGA